ACUAACCUCUGCAGAGUAUAUAUUAAUCUAUCGAUAGCCGCGCCCGCGAAUAAGGGCCCAGGUCGAGAGAAGGUCACACCAUGAGUCAACAGUAAUAAUAAUAAUGUGCUUAACAAUAGUGAGAUAAGUUGGCCAAGUGUUGGUCGGGUUGUGAUCACCGUAAGGAUCACGGGACAUGUAGUGGUCGGGUUGUGAUCGCCGUAAGGAUCAGGGGCCAGGUAUUGGUCGAGUUGUGAUCGUUGUAAGGAUCAUGGUUUGAGACUAGUGUUGGUCGUGGUUGUGAUCGCCGUAAGGAUCACAAUGGUAUCGAGGAUACUGAGUUGUUGUAUAUUCGUGAUGUUGUACGAGAGUCGUGGGUAAGGAUCAAGCUCCUUUAUGGUUAUAUAAUGAUCGCUACGGUAUUGUUUAUACCAAGCUUGAUUUGAACCUAAGAUGAUCGUGUGAUGUCCGAGGUUGGUAAGUGAUGCAUGUGUUGGUUACAAGGUAACCGUGCAGUAUGAGUAGUGCAUGAUAGUGUCAUCAUGUUGCACGAUAGUAUUGUUGGAUUAAUAUGUUCAUGUUGUGAUAGCUGUAUCGUCUUUAUGUUGGUCAUGCCAUGUUAUAUUGUUCUAAUGAUAUCAUGAUAAUUCCUGUUUAAUCUGUAAUUGCCAUGCUGUUGUUUGUCUUGAAUGGUUCUGGUUAUUGUGAGCUUGCAAGUACAUUCAAUGUACUGACCUGGCGUGUCAUGCCAGUUUGCAGGUCAUGUCGGAUUUGAUUGCUUGCUUGUCGUGGUUUCCGUUCGUGCGAGCUAGGAUAAGCAUUCCAGCCAGAGUCCCUGCGGAGUGGAGUUCACUACUGUCUUCGUUGUUCCGCUGCUAGAGUUAUUCCGCUGCUUCGAGUUGUUCUGCUGCUUGCAUAGAGCAACUGAGGAUGGCGUGGUGUUGCCGUACCGAUGUUAUUCAUUGUAAUAUCGGAGACCUUGUAAUCAUAUUCGUGUAAUAAUAGAAGGCUGGUUUGUUCUAUGCUAAGCAGUGUCGUAUUCCAGAAGACUUCUCCUUGAUCUCUGGGCUGGAAUACGGGGCGUUCCGGUUUUCUCUGAGCCUGGGUGCCACAGCGCUUGGUAUCAGAGCAGGUUUGGCUGUAGGACGCCUUAGACCGCGCGAAUGUUAGAAAGCGUUAGUAUAGACCCCAGUUGGUUUAUUGCACUUGAUUGCUGCAUUUUUUUGUCGCAUAGUAUGCAUACAGCCUCAUUAUUUGUUACUAACGGUUUAUCUGGUGAGUGUAGUUGGCAUCGGUUCGGAUCCACUACAACUCAACCUUUGCAUUCCUCCAGUUCUUUUGGAGUUUGGUGUUAAUUCUGUCCCAGAAGAGUGAUGCCAAGUGAUCCCGACACUGUUUGCAAAAAUGGUGCUCAGGUAUCGCACUGAUGUCUUUCCUUCAGUCCCGCCUAUCGUUUUGGUGAUAGAAAUGUUUCUAUCCUGGAUCGUUCUUUUAUUUUGUCAUGUUGGCAACCCUUAAUGAUCUUAGUUAUCAAGAAAGGGCAAUGUCAGCAGCCUCAGUUUUUCCCUGCUAUCCUAUUUCUUGGACGAGUACGGAUUUUUUUUCCAUCCGCUUGAUAAUAAUGUGGUUGCGACCUUCGUGUCCUACUGCAUGAUUACCGAGUACGUCCUCGUCUUCGAGCUAGUCCAGGUUGCUAUCUGGCUAAGCUAGCACUUGGUGUAGCGCUGUUUACACCAAUUCUUCCACACAUUUAUUCGUCCUCGUGCACAUCGUCACAGGAUGUUAGAUCGCAAUACCGGAGUUUCCAUGAGAGUUGUGUGCUUAGGUGUGCAUGCAUAUUAUUGUGUGAGUAGCAGUAAUAUGUGGUGAUUGCUUGAUUAAUUAUCUUAGUAGAAUGAUUGUGUGCUUUUGUUUUAGUCGUUUCUGUUGUUCCUUUCUUUGGGCCUUCGGUGUUACAAAGUUCUCCCCUAUUAAAGUUGCUCGUCAACCGACACCGGACCCGACGAGUCAGCAAGAAAUGCAUAUAUUUGGAAACUCAGCUAAACAGAAUGGAAUUAUCAGUAGUGAAAUUUGGAAUGUCUCGUCUGAAUGCAAAAGAAAUCCUAGAUGGACCGUCACUAUCAAGUUUGCAUUAGCAUGCACCCAUCACAACAAAAUGAUUAAAUCAACAGGAAGAUAAAUUGUGUGCAAGUUUGGCAGAAUAUUAUCGAAUGUAUGGCUCAGAUACAAGUUUAAUUUUUCGUUGAGGAUGAUUUUGGAACUCGAUGUACCUGGAAGCAAGCAAAAAUAUGGCAUAUACUCAGAAAGGAGAAUAGUCUUGCAAAACCCCGUUUCAUGCAAGAAAUCAACAUCAGAAAUAUUAAGAUGGUUAUAUAUGUGGAAAUUGGUCCGCAUAUCACAAUAAGAAGUUUCUGGUGUAAGCAACUCACCUUUCCCUUGCAAGAUACCAGAGAAGCUUCCAAGGAAAGAUUCGUCUACCUUCCUCAGUACGAUACAUGGAUGACUUCUCGCGCAAGGUACUCUACCUUCUUUUGUAAGCAAUCGUAAAAGCUUCCAGCAUAAGGUACUGAGUUUUUCCCCAGCAAAGUCUUUAAGGGGGUAAGCUUCUGAAACACGAUAUUCAGUCUUCUUCAGCAAGCUGUCCGAUGAAAGUUUUGAGCAGAAGCCAGCAAAUCUUCCUCAGUAAGACAUUGGUACAAGGUAGUAUGCUAUGAAAGCAUAUGGCAGCGAAUCCCAAGAAUCAGAUCCACAACAUUUUGGUCAGAAUCAAAAAUCAGUCAGAAUACACGUCUGUCUCGGAAUCAGAUUCUCAUAUAUAUGCGGUGAGCAUACCACCAAGAUCUUACAAGUCACUCGGAUGAGGAUCUGAUAACCACGUGAGGAUGAUUAAGAGAAGAAAGCCAGGAUAUACCACAGUGUGACAAAGGAUUAUGAGGAUUGACGACCUCAGUGAGCUCAGUACAAGUACCUAUGAACCUGGAAAAAUGAUCCUGAUGAGCCCUUGUUCCCUUUUUCGCCAAUGAUGGCACCACGCCUGUGAUCUGAGCUGUUUCUAGCUAUCCGGGGUGGAUGCCUAUUUUUGUUUCUCUUUUCAACGACUGUCACGAGUCUGAGCUGCUUUUCGGCCAUCUCGUACAGCUGUUGAGUUUCUUUUUGUGACAGUAGCCCUAUAGCUGCUUUUUGGCUAUUUUAGGGAGCUGCCACCUUCUUCUUAUCGACCCGGUCUCAUGCUUUGAGCUGCUUUUCGGCCGUCCUGAGCCGUGGUUAAGUUAUUUCAGUAAUGUCCCAGAUCUGAGUUAUAAAGACCGUUCUGGUGGCUACUGAUUUAUUUGUUGAUUUCUUGCAAGGGUUUCGGAUGAUCAUUUCCCAACGAUCGGAAUUUGAGAGGUGUUGAACCUGCCAUUCAAUGGGUUACCCUGUCAGAAAAAUGAGGAUAAACUACGAUUGCCGAAAAAUUGCACCGACAGUCCCUAUGGUCAUACGAAGAAGCAAUAUGGCCCAGCUCUUUCAGCCAAAGAUCCAGAUCAAGAAAACAAUAAUGAAGGAGCAAGAUCAGUGAUGCAGGUAUGAAAAAUUGUGCACGACCCCCAUGGUGUAGAUCCCCCGGACAGUCUAAGUCCGUAUUGAUCCACAGGAUAUGCCUACAGCAUGAGUAAUAGGCAUGAGGAAUAACAGUCUGGAAGCCUGAGUCCUCACUUAUAUAAAUCAUCAUGGAUACCCUGUCGCGAACAAAAAAAAUUCCGUCAGAACCACCAUCAGUCAAGUUCGCAGAUAUUAUCAUACAUGCCAAACCCUUUAUGCUAGCUACGUCAGGAGACAAUCAAAUAUUUGGUACAGAUCCGAUACUCACGAAAAUGGAACCAGUUAAGAUAAUUCAAAAACUUCUGCGAUGAGUCAGAGUCUGUGAGGAAACGGUUAUGUUUUAACUCACUGUUUGGAACCCAAAGGACCUACAUUUAGUGGAGAAGCCCAAUGCAAUGAGUUAGAGCUUGAGUUUUCAUCACAAAAUUCUGAUCAUCAUUAUAAGAAAGGUUGUCAGUGCCAGGUGGCACACCCAGCGGAAAUCACUUUUGGAUUUGUGAGACAGACAUAUAUUUCAGUUGCGAUAAUUAAAUCACACUCAGCUAGUCGGCAGAUCUAAAAAGAAAUUGGAGCCUAUAUAAGCAUGAGCAAGCCAGGUAAGAUCUGUCGGAAUGUGGAUACAGUGAAUCAAGCCACCCAGGGCCAGUCAAAUAAAAAUUUAGUGGGAACAACAAUAAAGGAAAAAAGGAUACCUGAGUUGGAAACGGUUUCCUUAAGUCAGAAUAUUCAUACUAGUUCCCUGAGCAAACAAAUCUCGAGGACGAGAUUUCAUUAAGGGGGUAAGGUUUGUCACAGCCUGAUUUUUGGCCAUUUCUUUUUCUUUUGUUUUUCCGAGGUUUUUGCCUGAGUUUUCUUUUUCCGUGGCUUUGUGGUCUGGAAACUGAAGAAGAUGCUCUCUUCUUUGCUUCCAGAGUGGCUUGUCAUUCCCAAAAUCCUUCCCUAGACCUUUCCAUUUCCAUCCUAGCCCAAAUCCCAAUAUUCUUUUUAUUGGGAAUAUUCCUUUUCUAUUAAAGGAAUAACUCUAAUUGCCCUAGGUUGUGAAGCAACCUAUACUUCCAUCACUCCCAGAAUUCCCAAAUAUUUCUCAUAAAUUGCUUGGGUCAUAUCUUGAUCAAAUAUGGCAAAACUUUUCAUUGCCAUGUUCAAAAAUAAUUCCCCAAUAUUCCAUUUCCUAUUCUGCCCUGAAUGGCACUUUGUGAAGGAAGUGUCAUUUAUAUUUCUCCUAUUGACUCCCAACAUUUUUGGGCAUGUUUAUAUGUCAAAAUAAUUGCCACAUGCACAAGUUCAAAUUUAUUUGCCUAGCCAAUCUUCCUCAGUGAUUUUUCAAAGUUUCUGUCAAACAGAAAGCUUUGUGAAGGAAGUACUAGCUAGGGGUACCCAAAUGAGUUGUACUUUUGCACACUCCUUAAUGUGCUCAUAUUAAUGCCCUCCACCCAUUUGCAGCCCCAUCCAACCAUCUAUGUGAGCGCAGGAGCAAAUAUUUGUUUCUGGCAAUAUUUUCAGGUUGUGAAGCAAGUAUAUUUUAUAUUGCUUCACAAAUCCUGAUAAAUUACCAGAUCAUUCUUAUACCCAUAAAACAUCCCUCCACCCACUUUGGCAUCAUUUCAUUGAGCCAUUCGACCACCAUAAUUAUUUCAAGUUUCUGGUCAGAAGAGAUGUUUGUGAAGCAAGUGCUAUUUUGGUUUGUCCAUUUGGCAUAAUCUUUUUACACCAUCAUCAUAUGACCUAAUGCCUAAGCCUUGACCAAUUUGAGCUCAAGAGGACCCUCCAUGUGAUUGAAUCUUGAUGAUCUCCAUUUCUGGACCAUUUUGGCAGUUGCAAAGCAACUAUGAGUUAUCUUGGUCCAUUUCCCCUCCAAACCCCCAGGAUCAUAGUCCCUCUUUACCUCAACAUCCCAGGCAUCUUGUUUGGUCUCCAGUAAUUCUCAGUUGAUCUCAUUGAGCUGAUGAAGUUUACUGCAGUAAACUUUAGAGAGUUAUUUCUUUUUGACCAGAGACUCUUUCACCUAGUUACCACCUCAUUUCAAACCUAUCUUCGACAGAUUUACCACUAGACAAUGUUUUUCUAGCUGUUUGCCUCCCCCACAUGCCAGCACUGGUGGUGACCACCGUUUUGGCACGCAAUGGCUGCGCCCAGAAUGCUGUUUGUGAUCGGUCCCCUCCCCCUCUCGUUGUCUUCGCACCCGUGAGCAUGUCCAGUAGAUUGCCCUCGUCGUCGCCGCUCCGAUGGACCCCUCUCCCCCUCCGGCAGCUUGCUCUCUGAUGCUCGCCGACGAGCGCCCACGGGAGCACUGUGCUCCGACAUGCUUUAAUGGCGUUCGGCCGUUUCUCCUCUUAGCCUCUCGACCCCUUCUACCCCGUGAGGUCCUUCCUAUGCGUCGCCGUCGCCUUCCCCUGAGUCCAUGCACGAGCACACACGUCCGCGGCGCCGGACAUGCGUCGUCGGCGGUGCCAGCUCGGCCCCCUCGCCCCGCGGCUAUAUAAGCCCUCCUCGAGCCUCUCCGAGCUCACCACCAGCCUCACACCACCUCCAGCAACCUCCCAGGCCUCUCCCUUGAGCUCUAGAGCCCCUCCCCACCUCUCUCUGCCGCCACGGCCACCGCUUCGGCCCGGCAAGAUUAGCUCGAUGCCGGCCCUCCCCCUCUUGUCUGUAGCCGCCGGAGAACUCCCCUCGGCCCCCUGAUCCUCCCCACCUACCUGCCCCUCGCCGGAGUACCCCGUAGCCCCACCUCACCCGAGGCCAUCUCCGCCGAAGUCCACCACCUAGCCGCUCCAAUCCUCCUCGGCGUUCGUGCCCUAUGGGAACAGGUAUGGCUCGUCCCCCUGAGCUCGCCCGUAGGUCGCAAGGCCCGAGCGGUGGCCGGAGCCGCCAGCAAGCCUCGUCGGCGCUGCUCCCCUCCCUUUGUUCCGUCGGGCAUCGACAAGGAGGAAGAAGACGAAGGCGUUGACCCCCCUGUAGCCUGCCAGCUAGCCGCGGGCCCCGCGUGUCAGCCUGACAUCGUUGACCGGUCAGCGCCCGGUGGAUAAGUGACGGGCCCCACCCGUGGGACCCGCACGCAUCAGCCCCACCACUAUUCAUUUGGAUAAGGUGAAAACGUAUUUCCCAGAUUAAGUUUUCUGUUUUUCUGUUCAGGUCCCUCUUUGGAAAUCUUUUCAUUAUAGAUAGGUCCCUGGUAGUAAAACCCUUAUAUCUUUUUAUCCGUAACUCUGUUUGAGGUGAAACCAAUGCUCACUUCUUCGUUUUGUCGAGCCUUUCCGUUGGUGUCACUUUAAUUAUGUUUUGACAUACUGAUGACCUUUAUGCCCUUGCCCUUAUUCAGCCCCCUCCGAGAGAGAACGAUUUCCGGCGAAUCUUUCUGCGGCUUCACCGCACUUCUCCCCGGUGCCUUCUUCAUCCCCAGGAAAGCCACAAUACCCACUUGCAUGAUAGUCAGGCAGUAGCCAUGGUUUUCAACUUGAAUCUUUAAUAAAUGUUUGCUUGUUGAAAAGUUGGUUAUCUUUGUCCCGGUGAUGUUCAGAUUUGCAUGUUCACUUUUGUGAUAUGUUGUCUUAUACUCUAUGUUAUACCUGCUAGUAUUAUCUUUCAUAUGUUUAUGCUUGUUAGUAGUACAUGUUGAUGUUGGAUAUGGUCGUGCUAGUCAGUAUGCCAUGCUCAGUGGAUAUGAUUUAUUGUUGAUAUGGUGGAAAGUUAUGUGAUACUCUCAUGAUGAUGUUGAUAACAUGUUCAUGUGUUAUAGUUGGCAUCAUGUUAUUUUAUCAUGAUUCAGCAUAUUUGCAUUCAAGUUAACCAGAUUAAAUUGAACUUGAACAACUGUUGGUUGAGUCAUGGUGCCGCUGAAUCGAUGCUGACCAGUGCAACCACGCUUACCGGUAUGGGACGGUCCUAACUAGGUCUAUUGUCGUGCCUCUAGCCGGUACCUCAAUUUAGGGAAGGUUAUGGGCGCGUGCUACCCUGAUCAGGUAGGCGGAGCAUAACCUUGUGAGCUCAUUGUUAAGUUAAUUUUGGUACCGGAUCCCAGUGUGGAUCGUGGCCAUGACGGUGGUCGAGGUGUCUGGAGGUAGACACGGGGCCACCCAGGACUAGCCCGGUGGGGUCUGAGUCGGAAGGGCCGGGAGAGUGUCAUGACAAUAGAUCAGUUUUGUCGGAACACCGUUGGUCCACCCAAAUGGGAGAGUGAGGCCAUGGGUUCCGUAGUGUGGGUACAGUGUACUAACCUCUACAGAGUGUAUAUUAAUCUAUCGAUAGCCGUGCCCGCGGAUAAGGGCCCAGGUCGAGAGAAGGUCACACCAUGAGUCAACUAUAAUAAUAAUAAUGUGCUUAACAACAGUGAGAUAAGUUGGCCAAGUGUUGGUCAGGUUGUGAUUGCCGUAAGGAUCACGGGCCAUGUAGUGGUCGGGUUGUGAUCGCCGUAAG
Molecule: long non-coding RNA, 7974 nt
Filed under: Triticum aestivum (bread wheat)
Lineage: Eukaryota; Viridiplantae; Streptophyta; Magnoliopsida; Poales; Poaceae
Description: long non-coding RNA (TAES_LNC011840)
Source: RNAcentral